Molecule: ribosomal RNA, 207 nt
Filed under: uncultured bacterium
Lineage: Bacteria
Description: partial 16S ribosomal RNA
Rfam family: Bacterial small subunit ribosomal RNA
Source: RNAcentral
CGCGUAGGCGGUUACUUAAGUGAGAUGUGAAAAGUCAGGGCUUAACCUUGAGGUGCCAUCUUAAACUGAGUGACUAGAGUGCGGAAGAGGUGAGAGGAAUUUCCGGUGUAGCGGUGAAAUGCGUAGAUAUCGGGAGGAACAUCAGUGGUGAAGGCGACUCACUGGUCCGCAACUGACGCUGAGGCGCGAAAGCGUGGGUAGCGAACA